AUACAGUCUAGCUUUCGAGGCUUGUUUUAAGUUGCCUGCGACUUGUACUUGGACACAGGCAGCUAAAGCAAGUCUGGGACGCCAGAGACACACCUACA
Molecule: microRNA precursor, 98 nt
Filed under: Seriola lalandi dorsalis
Lineage: Eukaryota; Metazoa; Chordata; Actinopteri; Carangiformes; Carangidae
Description: miRNA (ENSSLDG00000022411.1)
Rfam family: mir-1788 microRNA precursor family (bases 9-84)
Source: RNAcentral